RNAcentral lists this small nucleolar RNA (133 nucleotides) under Echinops telfairi (small Madagascar hedgehog). RNAcentral describes it as "Small nucleolar RNA SNORA67 (ENSETEG00000022880.1)". It matches the Rfam family "Small nucleolar RNA SNORA67". From Rfam's summary of the family: U67 belongs to the H/ACA class of snoRNAs which are thought to guide the sites of modification of uridines to pseudouridines. Lineage: Eukaryota; Metazoa; Chordata; Mammalia; Afrosoricida; Tenrecidae. The record is from RNAcentral.
GUCCAAGAUGAUCUCCUCUUCUAAGGGACCAACUAGUGCCCCUCUCAGGAAAGUAGCAGCUUGGAAUAGAAAUGGGCUGCCCAAGAUGUCUUUGGGUGAAAGGAAUGUUCAUCUCCUUUGGCAGCCUACAUAG